GACGGGGCCCGGCACAAGCGUGGAGCAUGUGGUUUAAUUCGAUGAUACGCGAGGAACCUUACCUGGGCUCAAAUGUAUGUUGACGUAUUCUGAAAGGGAUACUUCUUUGGUACAAUAUACAAGGUGCUGCAUGGUUGUCGUCAGCUCGUGCCGUGAGGUGUCGGGUUAAGUCCCGUAACGAGCGCAACCCUUGUCCUUAGUUACCAGCACGUUAUGGUGGGCACUCUAAGGAGACUGCCGGUGACAAACCGGAGGAAGGUGGGGAUGACGUCAAGUCAUCAUGGCCCUUACGGCCUGGGCUACACACGUGCUACAAUGGUCGGUACAAAGGGUUGCCAAGCCGCGAGGUGGAGCUAAUCCCAUAAAACCGAUCGUAGUCCGGAUCGCAGUCUGCAACUCGACUGCGUGAAGUCGGAAUCGCUAGUAAUCGUGAAUCAGAAUGUCACGGUGAAUACGUUCCCGGGCCUU
Molecule: ribosomal RNA, 468 nt
Filed under: uncultured Pseudomonas sp.
Lineage: Bacteria; Pseudomonadati; Pseudomonadota; Gammaproteobacteria; Pseudomonadales; Pseudomonadaceae
Description: bacterial SSU rRNA
Rfam family: Bacterial small subunit ribosomal RNA
Source: RNAcentral